AGAGUUUGAUCCUGGCUCAGGAUGAACGCUGGCGGCAUGCCUAAUACAUGCAAGUCGAACGAGGAUCCUUCGGGAUCCUAGUGGCGAACGGGUGAGUAACACGUAGGGAACCUGCCCGCGCACCGGGAAUACGCUCUGGAAACGGAGAACAAAUCCCGAUGUACAGGAAGGAGGCAUCUUCUUUCUGUGAAACAUCCUGUAAGGGAUGGGGCGCGGAUGGACCUGCGGUGCAUUAGUUAGUUGGCGAGGGUAAAGGCCCACCAAGACGAUGAUGCAUAGCCGGCCUGAGAGGGCGGACGGCCACAUUGGGACUGAGACACGGCCCAGACUCCUGCGGGAGGCAGCAGUAGGGAAUUUUCGUCAAUGGGCGCAAGCCUGAACGAGCGAUGCCGCGUGAGUGAAGAAGGCCUUCGGGUCGUAAAGCUCUGUUGCGGGGGAAAAAAGGCAACUACAGGAAAUGGUAGAUGACAGAUGGUGCCCCGCCAGAAAGUCACGGCUAACUACGUGCCAGCAGCCGCGGUAAUACGUAGGUGGCGAGCGUUAUCCGGAAUGAUUGGGCGUAAAGGGUGCGCAGGCGGUCCUGCAAGUCUGGAGUGAAACGUAUGCGCUCAACUCAUGCAUGGCUCUGGAAACUGGAGGACUGGAGAGCAGGAGAGGGCGGUGGAACUCCAUGUGUAGCGGUAAAAUGC
RNAcentral lists this ribosomal RNA (689 nucleotides) under uncultured bacterium. RNAcentral's name for it is "bacterial SSU rRNA". It matches the Rfam family "Bacterial small subunit ribosomal RNA", at positions 8 to 689 of the family's 1533-position model. The record is from RNAcentral.